RNAcentral lists this ribosomal RNA (500 nucleotides) under uncultured bacterium. Its description in RNAcentral is "bacterial SSU rRNA". It matches the Rfam family "Bacterial small subunit ribosomal RNA", at positions 213 to 721 of the family's 1533-position model. The record is from RNAcentral.
UUCCGCCUAAAGAAAAGCUCGCGGCUGAUUAGCUAGUUGGUAAGGUAAUGGCUUACCAAGGCGGCGAUCAGUAUCUGGUUUGAGAGGACGAUCAGACACACUGGAACUGAGACACGGUCCAGACUCCUACGGGAGGCAGCAGUGGGGAAUUUUCCGCAAUGGGCGAAAGCCUGACGGAGCAAUACCGCGUGAGGGAAGACAGCCUACUGGGUUGUAAACCUCUUUUUUCAGGGAGGAAAAAAAUGACGUGUACCUGAAGAAUAAGCAUCGGCUAACUCCGUGCCAGCAGCCGCGGUAAGACGGAGGAUGCAAGUGUUAUCCGGAAUUACUGGGCGUAAAGCGUCUGUAGGUGGUUUAAUAAGUCAACUGUUAAAUCUUGAGGCUUAACUUCAAAACAGCAGUCGAAACUAUUAGACUAGAGUAUAGUAGGGGUAAAGGGAAUUUUCAGUGGAGCGGUGAAAAUGCCUAGAUAUUGGGAAAGAACACCCGAUGGCGAAAAG